Molecule: ribosomal RNA, 406 nt
Filed under: uncultured bacterium
Lineage: Bacteria
Description: partial 16S ribosomal RNA
Rfam family: Bacterial small subunit ribosomal RNA
Source: RNAcentral
AUUGAACGCUGGCGGCAGGCCUAACACAUGCAAGUCGAGCGAGCGGCGGACGGGUGAGUAAUGUGUGGGAACAUGCCUGCUGGAGGGGGAUAACUACUGGAACCGGUAGCUAAUACCGCAGAUCAUAAGAGGUGCCCAGAUGGGAUUAGCUAGUAGGGGGGGUAACGGCCCACCUCGACGACGAUCCCUAGCUGGUCUGAGAGGAUGACCAGCCACACUGGAACUGAGACAGGGUCCAGACUCCUACGGGAGGCAGCAGUGGGGAAUAUUGCACAAUGGGCGCAAGCCUGAUGCAGCCAUGCCGCGUGUGUGAAGAAGGCCUUGGGGGUGUAAAGCACUUUCAGCGGGGAGGCGUUACCCGCAGAAGAAGCACCGGCUAACUCCGUGCCAGCAGCCGCGGUAAUUC